Molecule: ribosomal RNA, 409 nt
Filed under: Phlebotomus jacusieli
Lineage: Eukaryota; Metazoa; Arthropoda; Insecta; Diptera; Psychodidae
Description: SSU rRNA
Rfam family: Eukaryotic small subunit ribosomal RNA (bases 157-409)
Source: RNAcentral
AUGCACCCAAGUGCGGGUUUUGCAUUACUUGUUGCUCUGUGCGUUUUGUGUAAAAGCAAACGUAUAGUGUGACUUUAAGUGUGACGGAUGUUUUACCGGUGAGGGAAACGACUAAUUAUGCCCCUAUAUUGGCUUUCGGGUUAUAUAUAGGUCAAGCAUAUUAAUACGCCCCUUAUGUUAAAAGACCCAUUUUAGUGCUCUUUACCGAGUGCUAUUGUGGGCCGGUACAAUUACUUUGAACAAAUUAGAGUGCUUAAAGCAGGCUAAAUUUAAUGAAAAUUAAAACGCCUGAAUAUAUUUUGCAUGGAAUAUGACCUCUGGUCUAUUUGAUUGGUUUUUAGAUGUCAAGAGGUAAUGAUUAAUAGAAGCAGUUGGGGUCAUUAGUAUUACGAGGCGAGAGGUGAAAUUC